GACAGAGGGUGCAAACGUUGUUCGGAAUUACUGGGCGUAAAGCGAGUGUAGGCGGUUUGGUAAGUCGGAUGUGAAAGCCCCGGGCUCAACCCGGGAAGUGCACUCGAUACUGCCAAGCUAGAGUAUCGGAGAGGUUGGUGGAAUUCUCGGUGUAGAGGUGAAAUUCGUAGAUAUCGAGAGGAACACCGGUGGCGAAGGCGGCAUCCUGGACCGGCAUUGACGCUGAGGCGCGAAAGCCAGGGGAGCAAACGGG
This 253-nucleotide ribosomal RNA is filed under the name uncultured bacterium. RNAcentral's name for it is "partial 16S ribosomal RNA". It matches the Rfam family "Bacterial small subunit ribosomal RNA", at positions 524 to 776 of the family's 1533-position model. The record is from RNAcentral.